GACGAACGCUGGCGGCGUGGAUUAGGCAUGCAAGUCGAACGGUAUCAUCCUUUCGGGGGUGAGAGAGUGGCGAACUGGUGAGUAACACGUAGGUUAUCUACCCUCAAGACGGGGACAACCCAGGGAAACUUGGGCUAAUACCGGAUGUGAGCAACUUUUAGUUGUUUGAAAGGUGGCGUAAGCUGUCGCUUGGGGAUGAGCCUGCGUCCUAUUAGUUAGUUGGUGAGGUAACGGCUCACCUAGGCAAUGAUAGGUAGGCGGCCUUAACGGGUGGUCGCCCACACUGGGAUUGAGAUACGGCCCAGACUCCUACGGGAGGCAGCAGUCGAGAAUAGUCUACAAUGGUCGGAAGACUGAUAGUGCGACGCCGCGUGAACGAUGAAUCCCUUCGGGGUGUAAAGUUCUUUUAUAUGUGAGCAGUGCUUCUUAUAUUAACAGUAUGGGGAAGAGAUAUUAGCAUAUGAAUAAGCAACGGCUAACUCCGUGCCAGCAGCCGGGUAACU
Molecule: ribosomal RNA, 503 nt
Filed under: uncultured bacterium
Lineage: Bacteria
Description: bacterial SSU rRNA
Rfam family: Bacterial small subunit ribosomal RNA
Source: RNAcentral